This 265-nucleotide ribosomal RNA is filed under the name halophilic archaeon. RNAcentral describes it as "partial 16S ribosomal RNA". It matches the Rfam family "Archaeal small subunit ribosomal RNA", at positions 137 to 401 of the family's 1478-position model. Lineage: Archaea; Methanobacteriati; Methanobacteriota; Halobacteria; Halobacteriales. The record is from RNAcentral.
AAACUGAGGCCAAUAGCGGAUAUAACUCUCAGGCUGGAGUGCCGAGAGUUAGAAACGUUCCGGCGCUGUAGGAUGUGGCUGCGGCCGAUUAGGUAGAUGGUGGGGUAACGGCCCACCAUGCCGAUAAUCGGUACGGGUUGUGAGAGCAAGAGCCUGGAGACGGUAUCUGAGACAAGAUACCGGGCCCUACGGGGCGCAGCAGGCGCGAAACCUUUACACUGCACGACAGUGCGAUAGGGGGACUCCGAGUGUGAGGGCAUAUAGC